ACGGGUGCGUAACGCGUAUGCAACCUACCUUUAACAGGGGGAUAACACUGAGAAAUUGGUACUAAUACCCCAUAAUAUCAUAGAAGGCAUCUUUUAUGGUUGAAAAUUCCGAUGGUUAGAGAUGGGCAUGCGUUGUAUUAGCUAGUUGGUGGGGUAACGGCUCACCAAGGCGACGAUACAUAGGGGGACUGAGAGGUUAACCCCCCACACUGGUACUGAGACACGGACCAGACUCCUACGGGAGGCAGCAGUGAGGAAUAUUGGUCAAUGGACGCAAGUCUGAACCAGCCAUGCCGCGUGCAGGAUGACGGCUCUAUGAGUUGUAAACUGCUUUUGUACGAGGGUAAACGCAGAUACGUGUAUCUGUCUGAAAGUAUCGUACGAAUAAGGAUCGGCUAACUCCGUGCCAGCAGCCGCGGUAAUACGGAGGAUUCAAGCGUUAUCCGGAUUUAUUGGGUUUAAAGGGUGCGUAGGCGGUUUGAUAAGUUAGAGGUGAAAUUUCGGGGCUCAACCCUGAACGUGCCUCUAAUACUGUUGAGCUAGAGAGUAGUUGCGGUAGGCGGAAUGUAUGGUGUAGCGGUGAAAUGCUUAGAGAUCAUACAGAACACCGAUUGCGAAGGCAGCUUACCAAACUAUAUCUGACGUUGA
This 648-nucleotide ribosomal RNA is filed under the name uncultured bacterium. Its description in RNAcentral is "bacterial SSU rRNA". It matches the Rfam family "Bacterial small subunit ribosomal RNA", at positions 102 to 749 of the family's 1533-position model. The record is from RNAcentral.